This 760-nucleotide ribosomal RNA is filed under the name Escherichia coli. RNAcentral's name for it is "bacterial LSU rRNA". It matches the Rfam family "Bacterial large subunit ribosomal RNA", at positions 1142 to 1887 of the family's 2925-position model. Lineage: Bacteria; Pseudomonadati; Pseudomonadota; Gammaproteobacteria; Enterobacterales; Enterobacteriaceae. The record is from RNAcentral.
UCACUGGUCGAGUCGGCCUGCGCGGAAGAUGUAACGGGGCUAAACCAUGCACCGAAGCUGCGGCAGCGACACUAUGUGUUGUUGGGUAGGGGAGCGUUCUGUAAGCCUGUGAAGGUGGCCUGUGAGGGUUGCUGGAGGUAUCAGAAGUGCGAAUGCUGACAUAAGUAACGAUAAAGCGGGUGAAAAGCCCGCUCGCCGGAAGACCAAGGGUUCCUGUCCAACGUUAAUCGGGGCAGGGUGAGUCGACCCCUAAGGCGAGGCCGAAAGGCGUAGUCGAUGGGAAACAGGUUAAUAUUCCUGUACUUGGUGUUACUGCGAAGGGGGGACGGAGAAGGCUAUGUUGGCCGGGCGACGGUUGUCCCGGUUUAAGCGUGUAGGCUGGUUUUCCAGGCAAAUCCGGAAAAUCAAGGCUGAGGCGUGAUGACGAGGCACUACGGUGCUGAAGCGACAAAUGCCCUGCUUCCAGGAAAAGCCUCUAAGCAUCAGGUAACAUCAAAUCGUACCCCAAACCGACACAGGUGGUCAGGUAGAGAAUACCAAGGCGCUUGAGAGAACUCGGGUGAAGGAACUAGGCAAAAUGGUGCCGUAACUUCGGGAGAAGGCACGCUGAUAUGUAGGUGAAGCGACUUGCUCGUGGAGCUGAAAUCAGUCGAAGAUACCAGCUGGCUGCAACUGUUUAUUAAAAACACAGCACUGUGCAAACACGAAAGUGGACGUAUACGGUGUGACGCCUGCCCGGUGCCGGAAGGUUAAUUGAUGG